Molecule: ribosomal RNA, 243 nt
Filed under: uncultured bacterium
Lineage: Bacteria
Description: partial 16S ribosomal RNA
Rfam family: Bacterial small subunit ribosomal RNA
Source: RNAcentral
CUUAGUGGCAGACGGGUGAGUAACGCGUAGAUAAUGUGACCUCUUGCGGGGGAUACCGUUUCGAAAGGAACGUUAAUACCGCAUAAAGUCCCAGGGAGGCAUCUCCCAGGGACCAAACUUCCGGGGCGGGAGGAGCAAUCUGCGUACUAUCAGGUAGUUGGUGAGGUAACGGCUCACCAAGCCUACGACGGUUAACUGGUCUGAGAGGAUGAUCAGUCACACUGGAACUGAGACACGGUCCAG